UUAUCAUAGCCAGCGUAUGUUUUAUUUGGUAGUUAAGGAACAUAUUAAUAUCCUAUCAUAAGACACACGCGGCUAUGGUCG
Non-coding RNA from Glossina pallidipes, 81 nucleotides. NCBI's taxonomy places the organism in Eukaryota, Metazoa, Arthropoda, Insecta, Diptera, Glossinidae. The record is from Rfam.